GGCAACUUGGCCGAGCUGGUUAAGGCGUUAGACUCGGGGAAAUCUCCUUGCCUCUCAAAAGAGGAUUUAUUCUAAUCACGAAAGUGGCGUGAGUUCGGGUCUCACAGUUGUUA
Molecule: non-coding RNA, 113 nt
Organism: Cercophora newfieldiana
Lineage: Eukaryota; Fungi; Ascomycota; Sordariomycetes; Sordariales; Lasiosphaeriaceae
Source: the annotation of a GenBank genome assembly